This 701-nucleotide ribosomal RNA is filed under the name Triticum aestivum (bread wheat). Its description in RNAcentral is "partial small subunit ribosomal RNA". The record is from RNAcentral. Lineage: Eukaryota; Viridiplantae; Streptophyta; Magnoliopsida; Poales; Poaceae.
GCUGAAGUGUGGUACUGUCUUGCAAUUAACUCCUUAUUUUAGGAAUACUUCGAUCUUUACAAUACUUUACUGCCAACAACCAAACACAACCUUAUUAGUUACACUGUCCCAUACACGUUCUAUAGGGAAUCAGUUCCAGGACAGGAGAUGGCCAGCUAGACUGCUGUACUGUACUAACUGUAGCUUCGAUACAUGCCCGCAUACCUCGCCUCGCCACAAGCCGGAUCGCUUAACAACGUAUCAGCUCCUGGUGUUGCUGCGACGGUGGUAGCACGGACUGAAAGCUCUGGUGCCGCUGAGCUGAGACAGCAGCAUCGCCAGCUGAGAGUUAUUGUGCUGCUGGCCCGCGCGGUGGUACUGCUGGCUGCGAGCUCCCGUGCUGAAUUGCUGAUGCAAUCUCUCGAGCUGAGAGAUAAGGUGUGAUGCUGCUCCGACGGUGGUAGUGCGGGGCUGCGGGCUGAGAGAUAAGGUGUUCUGCUGCCCCGCGAGGUGGUAGCGCGGGCUGCGAGCUCCCGUGCUGAAUUGCUGAUGCAAUCUCGCGAGCUGAGAGAUAAGGUGUCCUGCUGCUGCGACGGUGGUAGUGCGGGGCUGCGGGCUGCGAACUCUGGUGCUGAUGCAAGCUCGCGGGCUGGUUCUGCUGCGACGAUGCCAGCCGUAAGCUCCGCGUGGGUGCAACGGCGACGUGGCGGGCUGCGAGCUCU